AAUCCGCACCGUCGCGGUGUUUUCCCACUGUGUGUGAUGAUGCUGGGGACGACGCAAGGGGAGCGCGAGGAAACCGGUGCGAAUCCGGUGCGGUCCCGCCACUGUGACCGGAGCGAUCCGGGAGCCAGGAACUCAACCCCCUUGCCGGGUGCGC
This 154-nucleotide non-coding RNA is filed under the name Allokutzneria albata. Lineage: Bacteria; Bacillati; Actinomycetota; Actinomycetes; Pseudonocardiales; Pseudonocardiaceae. The record is from RNAcentral.